GGCGGCAUGGCCGAGUGUAAGGCGGGGGACUGCAAAUCCUUUUUCCCCAGUUCAAAUCCGGGUG
This 64-nucleotide transfer RNA is filed under the name Phaseolus lunatus (lima bean). RNAcentral describes it as "partial tRNA-Cys". It matches the Rfam family "tRNA". Rfam says of the family: Transfer RNA (tRNA) molecules are approximately 80 nucleotides in length. Their secondary structure includes four short double-helical elements and three loops (D, anti-codon, and T loops). The record is from RNAcentral. RNAcentral also lists the same sequence under 3 other names. Lineage: Eukaryota; Viridiplantae; Streptophyta; Magnoliopsida; Fabales; Fabaceae.